AUAUUGAUGCAGCAUGGCU
RNAcentral lists this non-coding RNA (19 nucleotides) under Mus musculus (house mouse). RNAcentral also lists the same sequence under 1 other name. Lineage: Eukaryota; Metazoa; Chordata; Mammalia; Rodentia; Muridae. The record is from RNAcentral.